This 496-nucleotide ribosomal RNA is filed under the name uncultured bacterium. RNAcentral describes it as "partial 16S ribosomal RNA". It matches the Rfam family "Bacterial small subunit ribosomal RNA", at positions 28 to 506 of the family's 1533-position model. The record is from RNAcentral.
GAUGAACGCUGGCGGCGUGCCUAAUACAUGCAAGUCGAGCGAACAGAUGAGGAGCUUGCUCCUCUGACGUUAGCGGCGGACGGGUGAGUAACACGUGGAUAACCUACCUAUAAGACUGGGAUAACUUCGGGAAACCGGAGCUAAUACCGGAUAAUAUAUUGAACCGCAUGGUUCAAUAGUGAAAGACGGUUUUGCUGUCACUUAUAGAUGGAUCCGCGCCGCAUUAGCUAGUUGGUAAGGUAACGGCUUACCAAGGCAACGAUGCGUAGCCGACCUGAGAGGGUGAUCGGCCACACUGGAACUGAGAAACGGUCCAGACUCCUACGGGAGGCAGCAGUAGGGAAUCUUCCGCAAUGGGCGAAAGCCUGACGGAGCAACGCCGCGUGAGUGAUGAAGGUCUUCGGAUCGUAAAACUCUGUUAUUAGGGAAGAACAAAUGUGUAAGUAACGAUGACCGUCUUGACGGUACCAAACCAGAAAGCCACGGCUAACUACGU